This 2812-nucleotide long non-coding RNA is filed under the name Ricinus communis (castor bean). Its description in RNAcentral is "long non-coding RNA (RCOM_LNC002168)". Lineage: Eukaryota; Viridiplantae; Streptophyta; Magnoliopsida; Malpighiales; Euphorbiaceae. The record is from RNAcentral.
GUCGUCAAGAGGAUCAGUGACUCGCUUCCCUCUCGCACAAAAACCAGACAUUUUCAAGGUACGAUAUGAAUGCUGAAACUUCUUCCUCUGGAAUAUAAGGCUUUGUUUGGUGCAGUUUAAUUAAGAAGCUCUUUGUAAAGGAAAUGGAUAUUGAAAGAGAAGGAAGAUUUAGAUGUAUGUUAUAUAAUAAGAUUAGAUAAAGAAAUUGAUUAAGUAUUCAAAGAAAGUAUAAUUGCAGUGGUAUUUUAUUCGGAAUAUUCGGAAUGAAGCGAUUAUUUUGUAUUAGGUUUGUUUGUUUUGAUGAGAAAGAGUUUAAAAAAGAAAGAAAGUAAGAUUUGUGGAAAAGUAUAUACGGGAUUAUAUCCGACUAGAAGCGCAGAUGGCAUGGCAUAUCCAACGGCACCUGGCAGCUUUAUUCGCGGUGACGUGGAUGGAUAUGAUUUGCUCAGACACGUGGGGUCAUCUUCGAUGCCACGUGGUCUAAACGGAUCCUAUAGGACGCUUGAAAGAUAUGGUGGGUGGGGUAUGGACUAUGGAUCGGAUCCAAUACAAGGCAAUGGCUUUGCCUCUUCAAGGCAGCGAAGGGUGCAGAUUAUGAGAUGGGAAUUUGAAUUUUUCGAUUCAAUUGACUUGUGACUUUUACGAUUGACAAUGUGAUUUUUAGUUUUCCUUUUUUCUUUUUUAUAGGAAUUGCUGAAAUUACAAGUAAAAGAAAAAAGUUUUGUACGGCAUCUAACAUAAGUGGUAGCUGUAAGUACUAGCGAGUAGAAUUUGGUAUAAACCAAUACAAAUCAGAUUUUUAUUCAAUUGGUUAUUUCUUUAUUAAAACUGUUCUUCUUUUUCUUUUUCUUUUUUUCUUUUUUUUUGGGUUUGAUUCUGUUAAUGAUAUUCUAAAACUAUUUUACAUCUUAAGGUACUAACUCAGUUAGGCAUGAAAAUUUAACUGGUUUGAACUGUAUACUGAGUUUAUUUUUGUAUAAUUAAGAGUUAUUAUUUUAAAGAAAAUAUACAAUCUAUUAUUGAGUCUAUACCCACUAUUUGUAUAAAAGUAGGAAAGUAUGCAGAAUUGCAAAUCCGGAUGUGGAGAUGGCUUUGGAAAUCAUGUCGCACUGCAAUCAACCAAAAAGGUGGGAAUUUGGUUGUGGGCACAGGAACAGAAGAACAGCCUGUAAGUUCGAGUAAUUGUAGUUUGAAGCUGGGGGAAAGCCACCUUAUGGAAAAGGGGUAAUUGCCUUCUUGUCUAGUGGAAAAGUAUAUUCCGGCUUUAGUAUCAUAAGAAAAAGUAAAUGCACAUUUAUCCUCUUCAAAUUCUGUCUUCGCCAUAGGUCUGAAGGGUCAUGUUUAGAUAGUAGUAACAAGUCUGGUGCAGAGGUUAGUUGGCAAUUAAGAUGUAACUGUUUGAUAGUAACACUAACAAGUUUGAUCCGACAUUGACCAAUUAGUGAAAAGUUAUGGAAGCCAGGAUAGAAACUGUAUGGCAUUCAGAGGAAACCAGGCAAGAAAGUAAUUGCCUUUUGAAUAUUGGCUAAGUGGUGCUCACCAAAAAAUAGGAGGGAGAGACACAGUGUGAGAGAAGAAGUAGAAGACAGAAAGAAAAUGGGUCACAGCAAGGAGUCAAUUUAAUUGUUACAUGUGUGUAUUCUCUCACAAAAUUCACCUACUCAGGCACUCUCUACCGCAUAUUUAGGUUCCUGGAUUGUUCUCAGGGUAUUGAAUUUAUAAUUAUUAUCUACUGAUCCAACCUCAAAUUUUCAGGCCGUUCCAGAUCUUUCUUGGAAGCUGGCUCAAUCCGAAGGCACACACGUUUUGCGAGAUAUUGGAUGGUACUUAAAAACUGUUUUUAAAAUUAGGCAGACAGUGAAAUGUCUGUUUUUAUUUUAUGAUUCUAUUGCUGUAGAUGAUCACAAUCUCAAGGCUUUGCGCCAAAUAAUAUCAUACUGGACUAUGGCUCUAUGAAUUCUAAAAUAUAACGCUCUCAGUUGCAGCCAUGUCUUGGUCUCUCUCUCCCUGCAGGCCCUUCUUCCUAUACUGCUCUGUUCUGUUGUCUCGGUUUUGAAGACAACAGGAGUGAUCUGAAUUUCAAAAAUCACUUUUGUUAUUUCAAUGUCUUAAUGAUAUUUUAGUUUGUUAGAGAGGUGUAUGACAUUUGGGGCGUUCAAUAUGUGAGUAUUACUACAUUACAUAAAUAUACCAAAUUACUUGCUUCUUCUGCACUAUGCUUUAAUUGGAUCUAUUAUUAGAUGCUCAAGCUGGAUUAUCAACAUAUGUGCCAGCUUCCAGGCACUGUACUGCAAAUUUCUGCUUUUUAUUCAGACUUAUUUUGUAUGUAUUGAUGGAUGAAAACAGUAAUCGUUUUUGUUGAAAAUUCAUAUAUUUAUCCAAUGGCUUGAUUUUUAAAGUAUGAAGCGUGAUUUGAACUAUUUUUCUGUUCCAGUUUUAUUAUCUGCACUGAAAAUGAUCUGUCUUUACAUAAAACUUGAAUGCCAACUUGUUUCAACUCGUCAAGCUGGUGGUGGUGGCCGGUCUACUUAAACUUCCAUUUUGGUGCAGAGCUAUCCGACUAUGAUAAACAAACUGUACGUUACAGUUUUUGCAAGUGUGUUGACCAUUCUUUAUUUUGAUCUUACAACAAGAGAGAUUCGUCUUCAUGUGUUUGUUCCUUCAAAGCGAUGUAGGGACCUUAUAAUAUCCGGAAGAUAUAACUUGGAAAGAUUAGUCCAGCAUUUCCAGCUAGAUUAGGGUUUUGCAUUUUUCUCCUACUUGAAUUAGGGACCUUAUCUUUCCUCUUGUGCUUUAAUCUUUUUCUUUCUUC